This 556-nucleotide ribosomal RNA is filed under the name uncultured Bacteroidota bacterium. Its description in RNAcentral is "bacterial SSU rRNA". It matches the Rfam family "Bacterial small subunit ribosomal RNA", at positions 338 to 873 of the family's 1533-position model. The record is from RNAcentral. Lineage: Bacteria; Pseudomonadati; Bacteroidota.
CCUACCGGGGAGGCAGCAGUGAGGAAUAUUGGACAAUGGGCGAGAGCCUGAUCCAGCCAUGCCGCGUGCAGGAAGACGGCCCUAUGGGUUGUAAACUGCUUUUGUACGGGAAGAAACCUACCCUCGUGAGGGUAGCUGACGGUACCGUAAGAAUAAGCACCGGCUAACUCCGUGCCAGCAGCCGCGGUAAUACGGAGGGUGCAAGCGUUAUCCGGAAUCAUUUGGGUUUAAAGGGUCCGUAGUCGGGCUGAUAAGUCAGUGGUGAAAUGACAGGGGCUCAACUCCGGCACUGCCAUUGAUACUGUUAGUCUUGAAUUAGUUGUGAAGUGGUUAGAAUAUGUAGUGUAGCGGUGAAAUGCUUAGAUAUUACAUAGAAUACCGAUUGCGAAGGCAGAUCACUAACAAUACAUUGACGCUGAUGGACGAAAGCGUGGGUAGGCGAACAGGAUUAGAUACCCCUGCUAGUCCACGCCGUCAACGAUGGUUACUAGCUGUUCGGUACGGAUUAAGUAGCUGAGUGGCUCAAGCGCAAAGUGCAGUAAGUAACCCAGCACUG